UAGGGAAUCUUCGGCAAUGGACGAAAGUCUGACCGAGCAACGCCGCGUGAGUGAAGAAGGUUUUCGGAUCGUAAAACUCUGUUGUUAGAGAAGAACAAGGACGUUAGUAACUGAACGUCCCCUGACGGUAUCUAACCAGAAAGCCACGGCUAACUACGUGCCAGCAGCCGCGGUAAUACGUAGGUGGCAAGCGUUGUCCGGAUUUAUUGGGCGUAAAGCGAGCGCAGGCGGUUGAUUGAGUCAGAUGUGAAAUCCCCGGGCUUAACCCGGGAAUUGCAUCUGAUACUGGUCAGCUAGAGUCUUGUAGAGGGGGGUAGAAUUCCAUGGGUAGCGAUGAAAUGCGUAGAGAUGUUGAGGAAUACCGGUGGCGAAGGCGGCCCCUUGGACAAAGACUGACGCACAGGUGCGAAAGAGUGGGGAGCAAACAGG
RNAcentral lists this ribosomal RNA (429 nucleotides) under Chloroflexota bacterium. RNAcentral's name for it is "Chloroflexi bacterium partial 16S ribosomal RNA". It matches the Rfam family "Bacterial small subunit ribosomal RNA", at positions 355 to 776 of the family's 1533-position model. Lineage: Bacteria; Bacillati; Chloroflexota. The record is from RNAcentral.